This 538-nucleotide ribosomal RNA is filed under the name Cortinarius cf. fervidus UBC F17176 OC104. RNAcentral describes it as "eukaryotic LSU rRNA". It matches the Rfam family "Eukaryotic large subunit ribosomal RNA", at positions 1 to 537 of the family's 3401-position model. Lineage: Eukaryota; Fungi; Basidiomycota; Agaricomycetes; Agaricales; Cortinariaceae. The record is from RNAcentral.
UGUGACCUCAAAUCAGGUAGGACUACCCGCUGAACUUAAGCAUAUCAAUAAGCGGAGGAAAAGAAACUAACAAGGAUUCCCCUAGUAACUGCGAGUGAAGCGGGAAAAGCUCAAAUUUAAAAUCUGGCAGUCUUUGGCUGUCCGAGUUGUAAUCUAGAGAAGUGUUAUCCGCGCUGGACCGUGUACAAGUCUCCUGGAAUGGAGCGUCAUAGAGGGUGAGAAUCCCGUCUUUGACACGGACUACCAGGGCUUUGUGAUGCGCUCUCAAAGAGUCGAGUUGUUUGGGAAUGCAGCUCAAAAUGGGUGGUAAAUUCCAUCUAAAGCUAAAUAUUGGCGAGAGACCGAUAGCGAACAAGUACCGUGAGGGAAAGAUGAAAAGAACUUUGGAAAGAGAGUUAAACAGUACGUGAAAUUGCUGAAAGGGAAACGCUUGAAGUCAGUCGCGUUGUCCAGGGAUCAACCUUGCUUUUGCUUGGUGCACUUUCUGGUUGACGGGUCAGCAUCAAUUUUGACCAUUGGAAAAAGAUUGAGGGAAUGU